UGGCCAAGAUGAAUGUGCCCUGUGGA
This 26-nucleotide non-coding RNA is filed under the name Mus musculus (house mouse). The record is from RNAcentral. Lineage: Eukaryota; Metazoa; Chordata; Mammalia; Rodentia; Muridae.